UGCUUGUGCCUUAUACUCUUUAUCCUGGAGAAGUGGCAUACAUAGGCGCUGUUGUUGGUCUUUUCAAAUUGAUUCAGCAAAUUGUUCUUUGUCUCUGUACAUAUUACAGAGUUUUGUUCACAUUACUUGAUCUUGUUUGCAUCUACAUUUGUCUCUUAAAUAUCAUCUGGAUUUAGCUUCCAACAUUUUUCCCUUAUACACUUACAUUUACGUUAUAGCAUUUGGUAGCUUAGGGGUCUUACGUUGUUGGCAAAAUAAUUUCUUCUCCAGCAUUCAUGAAGUUAUCUAAGGCAUUCCCUUUGUGGUACUGUGAUGUUGGUGCAUUUCUUAAACACUGGCUUUCCGUAAAGAUGCUUAUGAUUUGGUGUGGGUAUAUAUUUUUUUUUUUUAAUUUCGUGAACAUCGGGCUUUUUUCAUUUCUUUUGCUUAUGACUUGCCCAGAUGAAACCUUUGACUGGUGCAGUCAGCAUCCUUCCAAAAGAGCUGGACACAUCUCAAAGGUUUGUAGUGAAGCAACUGCCCUGUCUCACUUCUUUCUGGAUUGCUUACCAAAGGCAACAUCACAUUGAUGCUUUUUCUUCAGCUUUCCCAUUUCUGAGCUGCAUGCUGUGAAGAAACCUGGUCCCGAGAACACAGAUGGCAGCGAAACUGAGGAUGAUGAUGAUGAGGACGACGACGACGAAGGUGAUGACCAGGAUGAUGAUGGAGGCGAGGAAGAGGAUGGCUCAGGUGAAGAGGGUGAGGAGGAAGGGGAUCCAGAGGAUGAGCCUGCAGCCAAUGGAGAGGGGGGAAGUGGAGAUGACGACGACGAUGAUGACGACGACGAUGAUGGGGAAGAUGAAGAUGAAGAUGAUGAGGAUGAUGAAGAUGAAGAUGAUGAGGAUGAGUCACCUCAACCUCCUGCAAAGAAGAGAAAAUGAGAUUGUAUUAUGCUUCUAUUGGCUCGUGUUUAAUGUGGUGUUUGCUUCUUCGGAGGGUAGGUUUUUGCUAGUGUUAGGCUAGAAUUGGGGGAUUUGGGUUUGUAUGUUUGCCUCUUUGCAUUAGAGAAGAUGCUUAGCUUUUUGUCGUGACCCUUGUUCAAUAAUUCUAGUAAUCGCUGUAUUAUCGUCGUGAUCUUUUUGCUUACCAUGUUUAGUUUCUUAGAUUGCUCCUAUACAUAUUAAUAUCAUUUCUCCAGAUUAAAAGAUGAGCUGCAAAUUGGUUAUGAAUUCAUUGGCUUCACUUGGACGGAUAUGUUCCCUUUCGCGUUAUGCCGUCGAGUUUGUUACUGUCCUUCCUUCACUUGGUCAAAUCCCAGAGUGCUUGCUAGUGGGUCUUAGGCAAAAUAAGCUAUUGUUCUGAAAUGUGACGUCUACUCGAGAGUCUCGGAAGAUACCAAACAGUGCGCUGCGACGGUUUGUAUGUAUGUGAAUGUCUUCUUAGAAGUUGUCUGGAGUGAUAGCUGGAGGACUUGUUGAGGCAUUUCUUUUCUGAAGUUUAGUCCUGAGUCUUGACACUUUGUAAAUUGUUUACAGAGUCUUGUUUUACAAUAUUGUCUGUGUGAUUUAGGAAGCCUUGCGUUGAUCUACAAUACACGGAACAUGUCAAUGAUGGCAAAGCGUUCUGUCCCUCGGUGGCAGCGAUUUUUGGCACUUGUUCGAGUUUAUGGUGAGAGAGACGUUCAUUUAAGAAGCAUUACGACCUCGAUAGCCUCUGCUGCUCAAAGGUCGACCCAAUCCAGAGAGAAAGAGAGAAUUUAUUCAUGGGUAAGUAUUUCACACGGAUUUGAAGGGAAACCAUAGAGACACUCUUCUCCCCUUUCCUGCAUCAACUGUUUUCAGCAACCGACUGCGAACGACUCGCCUGGCCACAAAAGGAACGGAGGAUACCAACCAUAAGAGAAGCUGAACGAGCCCUGUGGUGCCCAAGGCUUUUCCACUGUUAACCAGGCAAUAAUCCCCUUGCCUUGCGAAAAGUGAGGGAUCGACCGCCUUGGUGCUCUAUAACCUGGCGCACUUGAGCUUCAUGCCGCUCUUGGCACAGCCAGAGUUGUUGAUCACUGUCACCGUCCAUUGUGGCUUGCCCCGUAUGAUCCUCCGGUCCGGAUGGUCCGGACAAUGAAGUUCUCUGAAGGUGGGCUUGCGCGCAGCCCUGAAAUGGAACAAAAACGAGAAACGCUCGACAUGAACCCACAUAUCGCAAUUGAAGAGCGGACAUAAAUGUCCAGAUCGUUAAAGCCGGAGGGUCGUCUCUACCUUCGGUGAUGAAACUGAGAAGAAGAAUUGCUAGCAAGGACUUGAUGCCUGUCAUUUUAUCUUCAACCCUGUUCUUUUUAUUUUUUAUUCUAUUUCCAUUAACUAGGUUCCUUUCUCUUCGAGGACAUGGCAGUGAGAUUAUGGCCUAUUUAUGGUGUGUAUUGACACAGUGAUAUUUUGGUACGUGCCAUAUUUCCUUGGGGUGAUAUGGAUUUCCUUCUAAUUGAGUUACUCUUAAUAAUUGUGGUUGAAGCAUCAAUAACUCUUCUAAUAUGAGAAUGAAUUUUGGUUUGAGUUGUUGUAUGAGUUAGUUAUAUUUAAGAAAAAUGUGUCAUAAAUGGAUUUAAAUAUAAUAUUGACGUUAAAUGGGUCAUAAAUGAGUUUAACACUCAAGUAAACUCAAUUCACUUUUACAUGCUCUCUUCGUUCUCUCUUUACCCUUACUUACUCUGCACUUUCACUUUAGUUUGGUUAUAAUUUGUAUUGAAUAGAAAUUGGUUAAAAUGGGUUACAUGGGUUUAUUUGGAUCAGAUCAUUUCCAACAUGAUCCCACAUCCUCAUCUGAUGGGUCUACUCGAAGUAUGAGUAAGCCCUUCAAAAAUAGUCCAAAACAUUUAAAAGAGAGAAAAAAAAGAUUUGACACAAUCAUAAUUCCUCUACUCUUUGCAUGAAAUUUAAAUUUAAAACUGUCAACGAACAUAUUUUCAGACCAUUAGCAGUGAAUCCAAACUACCAAUUCAAUUAGCCAUUUCUUAACAUUUGACAUCAGUAGUAUCGUUCUUUGUUUCAUAACUAUAUCAUGCCCAUUGAAUUUCCAUGGACAUUAUCUAUAGGAUCAUUAUUGUCACAGCCCGAAACUAUUAUAAAAUAGGAUGACACAGCCAUCCUUCCACACGAAUGACAUAGCCUCAAAUUUAACCAACUACUUGAUAUUAAAAUAUAUAUCUCUAAAUAUAUAUACAUAUCAGAUAAACCAACAGUUCGGUUAUAAUAUCGGAGUUUCUAUAGUUCACCGAAAAGAAUAUGUACAAUUAGAACUCAGCCAACCCAACAAUUUACAACAACUAUAUAAACAACUCUUUAAGCCAUACCCCAAAAUAUAACUCUCAAAAGUUUUUAGUGGCACUCUCAUCCUAGUUGUUGCCAACUCAAAGAAAUGAUUCAUUAAUGUCAAAUCAAAAUAUAAUAGCCUGCAUGAAUAAAAUGCGUUAUAUAUGAUUUCAACCAAGUUAUAUCAAAUAGGAGAAUUUUCCCUUCAUUCAUAAUAUCAAAAUAGGUAUAACUGGUUUAGUUCAAUAAUCGAAUUCGUCCUAUCUCAUAUCUACAAUUUAUUCCACACUCAAUAUCUAACUCAAGUUCUUAGAAGUGGCUCUCACAAAUUUAUAUUAUUGUGUAGCACUUAGUCCUUACUUCACAUACACCAGUAGUAUAAGGCCUUAGAGGUAGCUCCAACGAAAUUACAUUAUCGUGUAAACUCUUUACCAUGCAUGUCAAUAGUGCAAGGCCCUAGAUGUGGUUCAUAAGUGACUCAAGUCACCAUGUAACAAUUAGCCAUUGACUACAAGGUUCUAGAGGUGAUUUACAUGAAGUUUUGUUAUUGUAUAGUAAUUAGUCUUUUACCUGUUUAUAUCACAGUUGAUUUCCUCAACACAACACAUAUCAUUUUUCAAUAGUCAUCACAUAAAGUUUUGUUGAAUCAUCCUACAAUAACUCAAAAGUACCAAAUACUCCAUCCAUCUUUAUAUAACAAAUGGGUCCUCACUUCCAUACAUAAGUAUAUGUCAAGUUACCCUUAUCUUAAUACAUGAGUUUCAUAAAAUCUAAGAAGACAUCAGUACUACUUAUCUGGGGAUGUCCCAAAAUCAAAUAACACACGUUACUUGAGCCGUCGAUCUCGCAAUCCUAUUAAAUAAGUGAGAAACAACAUUAAAUUUAGGUAAUACGCUACCUCCUCUAUGAAAUGACUAUACUAUGCUGAAACGUUAACAAAACAAUCCCUAUGCACUAAUAAGUCACAUAUUCAAAGUAAUUAUUUAAGCUGUUCGCAACACAAAAUUUGAGUACAAAACUUGAUGAUCCUAUAACUUUCUUUACCAAAUCCCGUUCCAAACGUACUUAUAGUUAAUAGAAGGUCCUUCAAAUAUACUAUGAAAAGCCUAACUUGACCGUUCUAAAAUCAAAUCGAAAACCGACAAAAUACCGGCCUGAAUCUGCUAGACGCUCAUUGUUCAUGGCAUGCCGGGAAACUUUGAAAUUUUAUUUCGGGCAAACUAUAAACUUAAAUCAAGAUUUUGAUCUUAUAUCUCCACAAUACCCUAAACUAUCAGUUUUAUGUAUACGCAGCUUAACGGCUCAAAAAUUAAACUCCAUCGCAUAGAUAUCCAAUAGUUCAAAUUUCAAGCCUUAAGUUCAAAACUACUUCGAUUGGAAGAACGAAGGUUGCGAGUGCUUAUCGAAUAUUGCGGUGAGGUCCCAAAAGUGUGCAUAAGAGAAACCUCUUUUCUCUUCUUCCUUCUUCUUCUUCCUUGUUUCUUUCUUUUUCUUCUCUCUCUUCCCGGAAUGGUUCAGGCUUAAAAGAGUAAAAGCGCCCCCCUUUUAUUUGACUUUUUCAACCCUCUUUCUUUUCUUUGUAUUUUUUAAACAAAAGUGGGUCCCACCACUUAAUUUGAAAAGUCAAAUAUUAAAAUGAUCGCUUUUCUCACUGAAGGUUUUCACGAAUAUUAUCUUAAACAUUCUGCAGACGUUCUUAAAUGGUUUUCCUUUUGAUUUAUUGGCAAAAUUUGUUUUCCCCUAAACUGAAGUACAAAGGUCCAAACCCUGAAGUCAUUCAAUAUUUUCUUCAACAAAGAAUGGAAGCUUUUACACCAUAGGCCCAGUAAGACGAAGCAAUUGUCCUUGUCCAAUUGCUAAAUUGUACAGAUAUUUUGGAUGCAAUUUUAUUGAAAUUCAUGAACGAUAUUGAGAAUCUCAAAGGAUCUUAUGUGAAGAGAAUCAAAUUAUUUCAAAGUUUAUGAGUAGUUAUCAAGAGGAAAUGCAACCAGAUUAUUUCCACAAAUAUCAUAUGACCCAAGAUGCCGCCCACCAGACAUUAGAUGAGUACAAGUGAAAUCAAAUAUAUUCAAUGGUUUUUUCGCAAAACCCAAGAGAUAUCGAAGAAUCUUAUGUUGAAGAUAUGUGGCAACCCAAUUUUAGCUCCAAUGAAAAUCUUAAUCUCGUCUCAAGUCAUCACCUGUGCUGUGAAUAAGUGAAAGAAUCUUUUGGAAUUCACGUGAAUACUAUAAUAAAAUUAAAGUUGUAAACUUUAUUAUACUAUUGAGUUUGUACUGAUUCUUUUCAACUUCAAUCUAAUAACUCUAUAAUAUUUCUUGGCGGUCUUUUGUAAUACGCUUAAUUGACCAUACUAGCUGUGAAAUUUUUUUGUAUUACCCAUUAUCUUAGCCAUAAAAGGCGAGCCAACGUUUGAAUCAGAGGCAAAGUUGGGAGAAGAGAAAAUUUAUCAAUAUUUUAUUAUAUUUUCUCAAAGGUUCUUCUAAACCUUUUCCCUUUAGGCCCAGUGAUAUUUGAUGAAUAGAAUUUUAAUUUUGAUCCGAACACAUGAGCUUAUUUCAACAAAUGUGCUCUCCAUUUCUCACUUUAAGUGGAUCCUAUAGAUUUGAAAUUUUUCAGAAUUCAGAAAGAUUUAAGAUGGAGAUUAAUAUUAUAGCAACAUCGAAUAUAGUCAUAUGAUCAUUCGUGUAAAAGGCCAAGAAACAUCACCGAAAGCGUGGUAAAAAAUGUCAAAUGAAACCUUUGACUGGUGCAGUCAGCAUCCUUCCAAAAGAGCUGGACACAUCUCAAAGGUUAGUAGUGAAGCAACUGCCGUCUCCCUUCUUUCGGGAUUACUUACCAAAGGCAAC
RNAcentral lists this long non-coding RNA (6130 nucleotides) under Eucalyptus grandis. RNAcentral's name for it is "long non-coding RNA (EGRA_LNC001774)". The record is from RNAcentral. Lineage: Eukaryota; Viridiplantae; Streptophyta; Magnoliopsida; Myrtales; Myrtaceae.